RNAcentral lists this long non-coding RNA (4307 nucleotides) under Salmo salar (Atlantic salmon). RNAcentral's name for it is "lncRNA (ENSSSAG00000099601.1)". Lineage: Eukaryota; Metazoa; Chordata; Actinopteri; Salmoniformes; Salmonidae. The record is from RNAcentral.
CGGAAAUGUGCGCAUGAUUAUUGAAUCGAUAGAUUAGUCAUACAUUACUAUAAUAGAACUCCAAGUUCUUCAUUGAUCGUCUCAAAUAUAGCUCUUAACAUCAGCAAAUGUAUAGCUAUUUAGUGCCGACUCGUUUUUAUACCUACUGUCUCUUGGGCGCUCCAAUAUCUAUAGCUCCAUUGCUUUUGUCUGGUUACCAGCACAGCGUCAGAAAAGACGGAGGUCUCAAAUGUGUUCUGGUAACGUUAGUCCUUUUCGGAGGUCCAGUUUACCUGAUGCCGAGACUCUAAAUGCCUUUUCAUGCCACUGGUGCUACCUCCUUUACAUCUGAUAUUCCGGUCGCAGUGUUUACAUUUUGCCAGUGCAGCUUCUAUUCUGUCGAAGCUGUGCCACACAGCGGAACCAAAGCUGGGUGAACUUGGUGUAGACAUUGUGAAUGAAGAGAACAAAUAAACAACCAAAACGGCAGAGUAACCUACGGGUUAUCUUCACUAAAAGAGCUGCGUGAAUGUGAGCGCAGAUACUGUAUAUAAUGACGAGAUGGUUUUGUCUCCGCCCUAACAAUGGAAAUCGUUGUCCCAAAGACGGGAAUGUAGUCGGUUUAUCGCUGUAUUCCCGCGGACAGAUUUUGACGGGAAUGAACCCUCUCGCUUCGUCUCUUCCUCUCUGGUCGCUUUAACGGAGAACGGACGCGACCACCUGUACUAAUUAGCUAUCUAGCGCCUACUCUGGAAGUGCAGUUCGUUGGAUGGAGGCACCCAGACCUGUAUGGAUCUAUUCAAAUCUGCUACACUUCCCAGGCAACCACAGCAGCAGGAUUGUUUUGAUUAAAAAUCAGCUUUCCCAAGGCAAAGAAGGGGGAUAUGCUGUGAAACCUGUGAAGACAGACCCAACAUACUGCUACGGAGAAGGGCUCCUGGAUCUCCUCUUUAACGAGGUCACCCUUGAUCGAGCACCGCAUAUGUGGAAGCUGUGCUAGCUGUACGUCCCAGGACCCCUGUCGGCCCAGUGUGAGAGGCCUGCGCUGUACGUCCCAGGACCCCUGUCGGCCCAGUGUGAGAGGCCUGCGCUGUACGUCCCAGGACCCCUGUCGGCCCAGUGUGAGAGGCCUGCGCUGUACAUCCCAGGACCCCUGCCGGCCCAGUGUGAGAGGCCUGCGCUGUACGUCCCAGGACCCCUGUCGGCCCAGUGUGAGAGGCCUGCGCUGUACGUCCCAGGACCCCUGUCGGCCCAGUGUGAGAGGCCUGCGCUGUACAUCCCAGGACCCCUGCCGGCCCAGUGUGAGAGGCCUGCGCUGUACGUCCCAGGACCCCUGUCGGUCCAGUGUGAGAGGCCUGCGCUGUACGUCCCAGGACCCCUGUCGGCCCAGUGUGAGAGGCCUGCGCUGUACGUCCCAGGACCCCUGUCGGCCCAGUGUGAGAGGCCUGCGCUGUACAUCCCAGGACCCCUGCCGGCCCAGUGUGAGAGGCCUGCGCUGUACGUCCCAGGACCCCUGUCGGCCCAGUGUGAGAGGCCUGCGCUGUACGUCCCAGGACCCCUGUCGGCCCAGUGUGAGAGGCCUGCGCUGUACAUCCCAGGACCCCUGCCGGCCCAGUGUGAGAGGCCUGCGCUGUACGUCCCAGGACCCCUGUCGGUCCAGUGUGAGAGGCCUGCGCUGUACGUCCCAGGACCCCUGUCGGCCCAGUGUGAGAGGCCUGCGCUGUACGUCCCAGGACCCCUGUCGGCCCAGUGUGAGAGGCCUGCGCUGUACGUCCCAGGACCCCUGCCGGCCCAGUGUGAGAGGCCUGCGCUGUACGUCCCAGGACCCCUGUCGGUCCAGUGUGAGAGGCCUGCGCUGUACGUCCCAGGACCCCUGUCGGCCCAGUGUGAGAGGCCUGCGCUGUACGUCCCAGGACCCCUGUCGGUCCAGUGUGAGAGGCCUGCGCUGUACGUCCCAGGACCCCUGUCGGUCCAGUGUGAGAGGCCUGCGCUGUACGUCCCAGGACCCCUGUCGGUCCAGUGUGAGAGGCCUAACGAGGAGGCGGCCAUAGCUGAUUUGUCUCCCACUUCAAUCUUGGGGGUGACUGAAGCCUGCUUGAUUCAAGCGGGGUAUACGGGUCCCCAUCAAUCUCUGUAGGUGGUUGAGUUUUCUAAAGUCAAAGUCAUAUCACGUAAACGUGAAUUACAUCACACUUUGUAUUGUUUCUUCAAGCAUUCGGACAGGAGAGCAGUGUUACAAAUUGUAUGAGUCAAGGGGUUCUGCACACUGUUGGGUGGCCGGUGCCUAUAUAAGGUAUAUGGCUCUAAUAUAUUUUUUUAAUGUCAAAUGAUGUCUCACCAUUAUUUCGCACCUUCAUUUAUGGUGAUCAAUAUUUUGGUUGUGCUGGCCUAAUUGUAAAUGAUCAAACUAAUGUCUGAUCAAUACAUACAAUUCUGAACAUGUUAUUUAUAAUGCUAAUGAAGAGGCACCAAUACAUUGUCCAGUACACUGAUUAUAUGCUGUUUUCAUAUACAUUCCCUUAUGGCUAAGGUGUCUUGAGCUUUACUAAUUCUUGUGAAGAAGUGUAUCAGUGAAAUGUAUUCUGUAAUUAGUUACAAAACAAUAGUCUGACUAAACUUCAUAUGGAGAAAAGGAAUGCUGUAGUCUAUGUUGGAAACAUAAGACUUUGUUAUUGGACUAAUAUGCAUAAACACAGUGCAACUGUACACCUAGAAUAUGUAAACAUGACACGUCAAGAACAUGAGCCAGUUCUGUUGGCCAUGAGAGCAUUUUGCAGAGAAAAUGGGUUGAGCCUUACAAUUUAGGUUAGGAUUGUUUACCUUGUUACCAGGCAACGACCACAAGGGCGUUUCAAAGAGCUCUCAGUCAAGGCGAGCUCAUGAAUAUAAGCUCUCCGCCCAGUCAGCCCCUGUUCUUUCAGGCUUCCUGACUGUGAGAGAAUGUACCAUUUCUUCAAUUCUGAGCAUUUUAAUGGUGUACAAAUAUUAUGGGUGAUGUUUUGGUCAUGUAAAGGCUAUUUUUACUUGGGGAAAUAGGAUGAUUAUGUGGGACGUUUUUGUAGAAAUAGGCGGGGUUUAGGGUCGUUGACACAAAGUCCUUUUUAAUAUAAAAAAACAGACAAUGCUGACAGAGAAUUUCUGAUUUCUUAAAGAAAAUAGUGAGGUAAUAAACAGUAUCUUUAUAAAUGAUUGUAAAGCAAUAAAUAAAGACUAUACACUGGAUUCUGAGUUAUUAACAAAAGGAUGAAAGUUCACAGUACACAUGGAGAAAUGCCCGUAAAAUGACUAGCCUACAUCCGAAGUCAUGUUUAAUUCAUGUGAAGGGACAGCCUAUAUCCAAAGUCAUGUUUAAUACAUGUGAAGGGACAGCCUAUAUCCGAAGUCAUGUUUAAUACAUGUGAAGGGACAGCCUAUAUCCGAAGUCAUGUUUAAUACAUGUGUGAAGGGACAGCCUACAUCCGAAGUCAUGUUUAAUACAUGUGUGAAGGGACAGCCUACAUCCGAAGUCAUGUUUAAUACAUGUGUGAAGGGACAGCCUACAUCCGAAGUCAUGUUUAAUACAUGUGUGAAGGGACAGCCUAUAUCCGAAGUCAUGUUUAAUACAUGUGUGAAGGGACAGCCUAUAUCCGAAGUCAUGUUUAAUACAUGUGUGAAGGGAGAGCCGGUGGAAUGGAUGAAAAAGGGAUCUCAUAAAGUUAUUUGACGAGGACAACCAACAGUGAAUACUGUGACUUCUCUGUCUGAAUCCCAGGAGGUUGGAGGCACCUUAAUUGGGGAGGACAAGGCUCAUAGUAAUGGCUGGAAUGGAAUGAAUGGUUUCCAUGCAUUUGAUACUAUUCCAUUCACUACAUUCCAGGCCUUUUUAUGAGUAGUCCUCCCCUCAGCAGCCUCCUGUGGUCUGAGUGAUACAAAGCUAAUGUUGCAGGAGAGGGUAAGCUAAUUAAGAGGACAAGAGGGAGGAUGGCCAAGCAAGGGAGAAAGAGUAGAGCGAGAUUACAUUACAGAGAUAGAAAUAUGUAGAAUAACGUCUUUACCAAAGUACAUAACUAGUCAUUCACAUCCCUCAGCUUUCAAAUAAACAGUAACUCCUCACUGUCCAACAGGCAGCUUUCAAAUAAACAGUAACUCCUCACUGUCCAACAGGCAGCUUUCAAAUAAACAGUAACUCCUCACUGUCCAACAGGCAGCUUUCAAAUAAACAGUAACUCCUCACUGUCCAACACGCAGCUUUCAAAUAACAGUAACUCCUCACUGUCCAACAGGCAGCUUUCAAAUAAACAGUAACUCCUCACUGUCCAACAGGCAGCUUUCAAAUAAACAGUAACUCC